Long non-coding RNA from Megalobrama amblycephala (Wuchang bream), 1963 nucleotides. RefSeq lists it as uncharacterized. The record is from RefSeq and is a predicted model, not a curated record. The transcript has 3 exons. Lineage: Eukaryota; Metazoa; Chordata; Actinopteri; Cypriniformes; Xenocyprididae.
AAAUGUCAUUUAUUCCUGUGAUUGCAAAGCUGAAUUUUCAGCAUCCAAUCUUCAGUGUCACAUGAUGUUUCAGAAAUCAUUCUAAUUGGUGCUCAAGAAAUAUUUCUGAUCACUGUUGAAAUAGUUGUGCUGUUAAUGUUUUUGCAGAAAUCUUUUUUUAAUAUAGAUUUUUUAGGAUGCUUUGCUGAAUAAAAGUAUUAAUUUGUUUAAAAACAAAAAACUUACUGUCUCCAAGUAGUGUAUACAUAAAAAAUCCAUAAUUUGCACAAUGAUUUUAAUGGCACUUUUUUUCUUCCGUAGAUUGUGUAUUGCGUUGUUUUGUGUUCAGUUACGUGAGCUGCCACAACAAAAUAAACCAGCACGGGGGGGAGACGGUGGCUGCACUGACAUUGCUGGCGAUGAUGACGGGUCCUGCGCAACAAAGCUGUUCGCUGGACUGGGCGGCCUGCGGAGUAGAUUGAUUACCCGCAGAAUCACGGUACCACCAGCAUGUCUGUGGGGCGAGAGCUCUUAUUGGCCUCCCCCACCAUCGAUCCCUAUACACGGCCCUCCACUUCAAUCCCUUCAUUUCUCACCGCCUGGCCGCUGGAGGUGGCAGCGGAUGGCAGUAAAUCAGGUCUGGUGGAGAUGGCAGCGUAUGGGGUAGAAGUGAUGAAAGAGGAAAGAGAGCUCUCUGAGAUCUGGGCAGUUCAGUCAGCAUCUCAGCAGGCCUUAUGGAGACUAUUGAGGACUGCACUGGCUUUUUAGGUCCCUUUGAACAGGUGCUUUUCUCCCAGUGCUGCUGGCUUUGCUUUGGAUUUCCAAACACAAAGAGCUGCUAUAUCCCAUACAUUUAAAGCCCCCACUUGUUUGUGCGUGGACACACACACAUGCACUUAUGAGUACACGUGGAAGCAAAUGCACAAGCUCAAACACACUUUUGGGGGUCCUCUCGGAGGGAUUUCCUUUGCACCUGUUUAUUUGUUCUUUUUUCCCCCCUCAAUAUAUAUAUAUAUAUAUAUAUAUAUAUAUAUAGAGUGGAUCUAACUCACCCAAAACAGUGUGGAUGAAUGUGAGUGGCAAAAUAUCCUCUGGGUUCUCCCUCUUUCUGACUCUGUCUGUCUUUCUCUCUAUCUCUGUCUCUCUCUUAAAGACUCCUCCGGAUCUCAUGAUUUAUGUAUGAGGCUGAGGCGUGAUUCAUCUUGGCAUGGGGAGAGAAGUUGUCCUUUGUCUUCUGCUCUGUUGGCCAGUAAGAGGUUUCCUGAGGUCUGGAGAAGGGUCUUAGAGUUGUUCUGGACUCAAAUAGAUGUGUGUGUGUGUGUGUGCAUGUGUGUGUAUGUGUGAAAGAUAGAGAAGUGAGACUCUUUCUGGAGGUGUGGGAGUUUGCCCCACAGUUAUUACCCAACUGGAACUGCUUCAGUAUGGUGUUGGAGCCAGAUUGCGACAGACACACCAUGUAAACAAAUAAACAAACAACCCUAGACUGUCAGAUACGCAGCAAGGAGGCUUAAUCUUAUUAUUGCUUAAACAGGACCCCGGUGGGAAAUAUAAAGAUCUAACUAAUCUAAAAAACUGGAAUCUACUCACAUUACAAUGUUGUGAAUGUAACAUAAAUAUAAGUAAAAUUAAAGUGGUUGUCCCAGAUUUUUCCCAACCAGACAGGCUAUUAACGUGGGUGACACAUAGGAGAUAACAUAAGGUAGUUAAUUGAAAUAAAAGAUUAGCAUGAAAUCUUAAAUGAAUAGCAAGUCUUUGACAAGAAGUAGUUUUAGUAAUAUGAAAUAUGUGAAAGGUAUGAAUAAAUGCAGUUUGUUUUGUUUUAUUUUAUUUUAUAAAAAUAUAGAUAUGAAUGUUAUGUAAUUUGUUUGAACAUAUUAUUAGUUUUUGAUUUGUAUAUAUGUAAUUAUUAUACUAAUGACAAUUUUAUGUACUGCAUGUAUAUGUAUCUAUUUGCACUGUUGUAUAAAAUAUAUAGUUGUACAAA